CCCUUAGAUGUCCUGGGCCGCACGCGCGCUACACUGAGUGUCUGAGAUACGAGUCUGCCUGGUCCGGCAAGGUCUAGGUAAUCGCUAAAAGACACAUCAUGCUUGGGAUAGAUUAUUGCAAAUAUUAAUCUUGAACGAGGAAUUCCUAGUAAGCGCAAGUCAACAGCUUGCGUUGAUUACGUCCCUGCCCUUUGUACACACCGCCCGUCGCUACUACUGAUUGGAUGUUUAAGCGAGGUUCUCGAACUGCUAGCGACUUAGCUUCGGUGAGGUCGCAGUGUGGAAAGUGAACCGAGCUUUGGUGUCUAGAGGAAGUAAAAGUCGUAACA
This 329-nucleotide ribosomal RNA is filed under the name uncultured eukaryote. Its description in RNAcentral is "partial 18S ribosomal RNA". It matches the Rfam family "Eukaryotic small subunit ribosomal RNA", at positions 1470 to 1796 of the family's 1831-position model. The record is from RNAcentral.